This is a long non-coding RNA of Drosophila novamexicana, 567 nucleotides long. RefSeq lists it as uncharacterized. The record is from RefSeq and is a predicted model, not a curated record. Lineage: Eukaryota; Metazoa; Arthropoda; Insecta; Diptera; Drosophilidae. The transcript has 3 exons.
GACUGCCGGGACGCUUGCAAUGGCGAGCGAUUUCGUUGGCAACAAAUGCAAAUAGCUCCGGUCCGCUAGAAAGCAAAGAUAAAUCUGAUCCUUACGAAAUAGGGCAUACAAAGGUGGAUACAUACCAAAGCACAAGGCUCUACCUUUAAGAUUUUGUCUAUUCGAAAUUUGGGGUGCACGGCUUAAUGCAUAUCUACUAUACGAGAGGCUACACAACCCCCAUUUGAUCUACGAGUUAUGUUUAAGGAGGUUUUGUUUCUCUCGACAUGAAAGCGUACACGGACAGAACUGGAUCGCAGCAGCUCGUCAUCCAGAUCAACAAGUAUAUAGUAUAUAUAGUAUACAUUUGCACCCAUUUUCAAUAUGUUUACUUUAAAAGUUUAAAUGUAGCUUAUUUGUUACGAGCACGGCAAAGCUCGUGAUUGCUGAGUUUGCUUGAAAUAGCCUAAAAUGAAAUGUUUUUCAUUCAAAAAGUAUACACUGACCGAUACUUCCUUGCGCAUCUAUAAUAUACAUAGGUCCGAUUCGGACAUUUGCAUGGUUCUGUCGUCAAUUGUUUUUUUUAAC